Molecule: long non-coding RNA, 360 nt
Organism: Zea mays
Lineage: Eukaryota; Viridiplantae; Streptophyta; Magnoliopsida; Poales; Poaceae
Exons: 3
Source: RefSeq, a predicted model, not a curated record
UUUAGGUCGUUCUGUGAGCAACUCUUGGUAUAAUUGGUUGCAAUGGCGAUAUCACAAGCUCUUCAUGGAUAUGUGACGAUGGUUCGGGUUACAGGUCUUCCCGUUACUCAUCAAGAAGUUUUCACACGAAGAGCAAGCAAAUUUAGUAUGGCAGUUCUUAUGUAGCAUCCCUGUAAACAUGAUGGCAAAAUUUCUUCCAUGGAUUUCUGCUUCUGUUUCUACAGAUGAGAAUCAAGAUAUUCUUGAUUGCCUAAGUAAAAUAGUUCCUGAAGAAAAACUCCUCCAAGAGGUUGUUUUCACGUGGUUUGGAGGGAAAUCAGAAAGCAGUUCUACAUGUGAGUCUAGCUCUGGUCAAUGUGA